UCACACAAGAGACCCAAAUUAAUCGUAUACGGCGUAAAGAGUGGACCCAUGAUUAUCAAAAUAAUUAAGGCCAAAACGUGACUAGGCUGUCAUAAGCUUAAGAUACGCUUAAAACCACCCUAAAAAUGACCUUAACACACAUGAUUAAUUAAACUCCACGAAAGCUAGGUCACAAACUGGGAUUAGAUACCCCACUAUGCCUGGCCCUAAAUCUUGAUGCUUCAACUACUAAAGCAUCCGCCAGAGAACUACGAGCACAAACGCUUAAAACUCUAAGGACUUGGCGGUGCCCCAAACCCACCUAGAGGAGCCUGUCCUAUAAUCGACAAUCCACGAUACACCCGACCACUUCUUGCCAAAACAGCCUACAUACCGCCGUCGCCAGCUCACCUUCACUGAGAGAGCAGCAGUGAGCUCAAUCGCCCUUACCCCGCUAACAAGACAGGUCAAGGUAUAGCCCAUGAAGUGGAAGAGAUGGGCUACAUUUUCUAGUCUAGAAAACCACUUCCAUUCAACGGAUAGGGGUAUGAAACUUUGCCCCCUGAAGGAGGAUUUAGCAGUAAAGCAGGACAAUAAAUGCCCACUUUAAACUGGCUCUGAGGCACGUACAUACCGCCCGUCACCCUCCUCAUAAGCCUACAACCCCCUACCCCAUUAAUAAUACACCCACUCGCUAAAGAUGAGGUAAGUCGUAACAAGGUAAGUGUACCGG
This 712-nucleotide ribosomal RNA is filed under the name Metriopelia morenoi (bare-eyed ground-dove). RNAcentral's name for it is "partial 12S ribosomal RNA". It matches the Rfam family "Bacterial small subunit ribosomal RNA", at positions 521 to 1508 of the family's 1533-position model. The record is from RNAcentral. Lineage: Eukaryota; Metazoa; Chordata; Aves; Columbiformes; Columbidae.